RNAcentral lists this ribosomal RNA (225 nucleotides) under uncultured bacterium. Its description in RNAcentral is "partial 16S ribosomal RNA". It matches the Rfam family "Bacterial small subunit ribosomal RNA", at positions 109 to 334 of the family's 1533-position model. The record is from RNAcentral.
CGGAACACGUACAGAACCUUCCUUUAAGCGGGGAUAGCCCAUAGAAAUGUGGAUUAAUACCCCAUAGUAAUGCUGGUUGGCAUCAACUGGCAUUUAAAGAUUUAUCACUUAAAGAUGGCUGUGCGGCUGAUUAGGUAGUUGGUGUGGGUAACGGCCCACCAAGCCAGCGAUCAGUAACUGGUGUGAGAGCACGACCAGUCACACGGGCACUGAGACACGGGCCCG